AAAACAUCACCUACAUCACAAACGCGGAAGUCCGGGACGCAAUACUGAACCUGACUUUGACGGCUCUGGCUCCCAAAUUCCCUCUCUUCCAAACCAGUGACUAUGAGCUGUGGUUCCAAAUUAAUCUCGUGGUCCUGCUGGCCAGCUUCAGUCCUUCAGUUUUGGUGGUGAUCCCCGCCAACCUCACCUGCGACUCUUACGACGCAAUAUUGAAAGGCAUGGAGAACGCUUUGGCGGUUCUCCCAACUGGAGUUGGAGUGGAGCUGAAGUCAAGCAAAGACAAACUUCGACAGUCACCACCAGAAGGUAUGGCCUGAGCAGCUCCCUUCAAAUACGUAAAGAUCGCAGUGUUGUUCUUUGGUAAACCAAAAGAGUCCUUACCAAAUGCAGGUGAAUGUAAGCAAUUUGCAAGUGGCCUCCCAUUGACAGAAAUCUUGUUUGUCUUGGUUUUUUCCUCAGGCUGCACGCCCCCUCGCCCUGUGGGUUUC
Molecule: long non-coding RNA, 488 nt
Organism: Cyprinus carpio carpio
Lineage: Eukaryota; Metazoa; Chordata; Actinopteri; Cypriniformes; Cyprinidae
Source: Ensembl